AAAGCAAGUUGACCUUUCCUGAGGAAAGAAGC
This 32-nucleotide non-coding RNA is filed under the name Mus musculus (house mouse). The record is from RNAcentral. Lineage: Eukaryota; Metazoa; Chordata; Mammalia; Rodentia; Muridae.